Molecule: non-coding RNA, 583 nt
Organism: Epinephelus lanceolatus (giant grouper)
Lineage: Eukaryota; Metazoa; Chordata; Actinopteri; Perciformes; Serranidae
Source: RefSeq, a predicted model, not a curated record
UUAAAAGACAGAACAGGGGAAAACAUCCAAGGUGCAGCUCCAGAGCCGUCUGUCUCAAUACUUCAUCAGACAGAAGAUGGGGUGCUGUUACAGUGUGUUGUUAGACAUGCUUCUCCAAAACCUAAAGUAGAGUGGAAGGACAGUUCUGGAAACAAACUUCCUGCUGAAGAACCACAGGUCACAGACAGAGGAGGCAGCUAUGACAUCAUCCUCCAAACUACUGUGACCAAGACUGACUACUAUCACUGUGUGGUCACACAGGAGGAAAUCAACCAUCAGACUGAGGCGAAGACGUUUGUGCCUCUCAGUGGUGCAGCUUCAGAGCCAUCUGUCACGAUACUGGAUGAAACAGAUGAUGGGAUGUUGCUGCAGUGUGUUGUUCGAGGUGCUUCUCCAAAACCUAAAGUAGAGUGGAAGGACACUUCUGGAAACAAACUUCCUGCUGAUGAACCACAGGUCACAGACAGAGGAGGCAGCUAUGACAUCAUCCUCCAAACUACUGUGACCAAGACUGACCGCUACCAGUGUGUGGUCACACAGGAGGAAAUCAACCAUCAGACUGAAGCAAAGAUUUAUGUGUCUG